CUUAUGUGGGUUUGUUGAUCAAGGACUUUGCAUCUUUUUCUUUUGUAUUGUUAUGAAAAUAUAUCAAUGAAUAAGAUGCAAAGUCUUACUUGAUCAACAAACUCACGAA
RNAcentral lists this microRNA precursor (109 nucleotides) under Medicago truncatula (barrel medic). RNAcentral describes it as "miR5264 stem-loop (mtr-MIR5264)". The record is from miRBase by way of RNAcentral. Lineage: Eukaryota; Viridiplantae; Streptophyta; Magnoliopsida; Fabales; Fabaceae.